Molecule: long non-coding RNA, 6049 nt
Filed under: Actinidia chinensis (golden kiwifruit)
Lineage: Eukaryota; Viridiplantae; Streptophyta; Magnoliopsida; Ericales; Actinidiaceae
Description: long non-coding RNA (ACHI_LNC000885)
Source: RNAcentral
AUAUAUUAUUUUUUUGUAACCCUUUUUUUUUUAUUACUUUUUCCUCUCUCCACAAACCCGUUCGCAUAUCCAUAACCAGUUUACAUUUAUUUAUUUAUUUUUCAAAAAAUGGGUGUUCGAAGAUUCAUAGAAUGCUGGUUCAAUUGCAUGUUGUUCUUUCUUUCGAACUGGAGGAGUGACCUAGUCCCUCUCUCUCUCUCUCUCUCUCUCUCUCUGUGGCUUGGGAAGAAGCUAUGGCUUACCUCCAUUACAGCCCAUCACCUAUAUUUUGUCUGUGUUUUGAUCAUUUGGUGCAGAGGACAAAUUGGACCCAUAAGAUUUGGGAUAUUUUAGGAGUAGUAAACAAUGUGUGUCUAACCAAAUUUGUUGGUUUGGACUUUGGACUAACCCGUCAAGAGAGCCUAGCUAAAGCUUUUGCCUCGUGGUUGGACUGGGAGGACCAACACUACGGAUCCGUUUGGUAAUGCUUAAAAACUAUUUUUUUUUUAAGUUUGUUAUCAAAAAAAUCAAGAUUUUUUAACUUUUUUGCUUUUAUGGCUUUAGUUUAGCUAAAACUAAAAAAAAAAGAAAGACAAAAAAGCUAAUUCUGAUUGUUUUUUUUGUUUAUUUUAAGCAAGAAAGUCAGAAAAAAAUUGAAAAAAGUUAGUGGCAAAACGGAGUCUACGUCGGUUGAGGUUCGCUUUUUAGUUGAGGCCUCAUACCUCUUUUGCUAUCUAGACGAAAGUUUCCUGAAUCUUAAAACUAAUCUUUUCGCUAUGUACUGUUAGAAAAUCCAUUUGAAUUAAUCUAAUGAGAGUUUAUCUGAGAUUAUUUUUUUUUCCCCCCGUAAAAAUAUAAUUUCCUUUUUUCUCAAAAGUGUGUAGCCCACAUAAGUAUGAUCUAAUGGUCAAAACCUUUAAAGGGGGCAAUAGUUUCUAUUAGAUCAUUUUUUGUGGGACCUAUAGACAAAAAAUAAACAAAACACCCAUUUCUUUUUCUUUCUCUCUUUUUUCAAAACUAGCAAUAUUUUUAUUAAAAUCUUAUACUUUUUAAUUUAUUCUCAUUUUAUUUUAGCAAUGUAUAAUGUAUCUUCUUUUUAUCGGAUUGUUUAUACUUAUCUUUUUUUAGAUUGUAAAACUCUUUAACCCUUAUAGACUUUUAUUUGCUAUAGUGACUGUGGACAAGAACAAGUAAACGGUGCGGUUGCACUUACAAGUUCUUUUGAGUAGUGAUAGGUACACACCCCAAAAAAUGGGUGUGUACAAGACACACCAUUUUCCCUCCUCACAAAAUAAGUGGGACCACGCCUAAUUAAGGGAUUUUCAGACGUUUUUUUAAAAACCCUAAUUAGGGCGGUUCCCACUUAUUUGGUGGAGGCAAAAUCAGUUUGGGCUUCCUGGCCAAUUAAAGCAAUUUAUUCUAAAAUUAUUUAUGAAGCUAUUACAAACACAAGAACAAAAGUAAGAGCAAAUUAUUACUUCAAAAUAUUGAGCAUAUUUUAACUAAAUAAAGGAAAGUUUAUGGCACAUAACCUGUGGUUUUAGUGUUUGUAUCAAAUAUAACAAACAAAAAACGGUUAGGUUCUAAAAGAUCAAGGCUAUAUUUAAAUUAAUGAUUUAAUUGUUUGAGACUAUUAAAUUCUUAUUUUUUUUUACUAAAUAUUUAAAUUAAGGAUUUAAUUAUUCAGUGCUGUUAUAUCUUGAACUUUUUUAUUUCUUUUUUUUUUACUACAUCCUUAAUCCAUACACAACCUAAUAACUCCUAUUCUAUCAUUUUUUUAUUGUUUCUAAUUUUUAAAACUUUAAAAAAAUGUAAUAACUACUAGCAAAAAAAUAAAAAGAAAAGAAAGUAAGAGCUAUAGCAAAAAAGCUAAUAAAGAUGUAAAAUUCUGAAGAAAAAUGUAAUGCUAAUUAAAAAAGAAAAAAAAAAUGAGAAGUUGUAAAAAAAAAUAUCGGAAGUUUUUUGAAUAUUGAGAUUUUAAAAAUAAAUUAUAAAAAUAUCGUUGUUUUGAUAAGACGACGUCACUUUUGACUUAUAAAAAGACGAUGUAUUUAAAAAAUUAAAUUUAUUUCUAAAAGGGAGAAUUUCGCUGCCGUUUUUCUCACGCGCCAUGAGGGACAGUGCGCGUAUGGUUAACAUUACAAGAGUCAAGUAACGGACCCGGGUUAGGGCUGGCAAAAGGCUGUUUGGCUAGAGCCUAGUCGGAUAACUUCUUUCUCCCUCUAUUCGGCGUUUAGAUGGAGAAAUUCUUUCCGAAUAACUUUUUCUCCCGAAUAACCUUUCUCCUAGUAGGCGGAUAAAGAUGGAUAAUUUUGGGGUGGGCCUCACCCUCCCCAAAAGUUAUCAGGGAGGAUUGCAGAUUUAUCAUUUCUGAUCCGGUCGAAAACGAGACAGUGAAUUAUUCAGCAUGCGUCUCUCCUCUCUCCUCCCGUGUAAAAAUAUAUAAUAUAAAAAUUUAAUAGUAUGAUAUUUUUUAUAUUAUAUAUUUAUAUAUGUGUAUAUAUAUAUAUUUUUAAUAUUUAAAUAUUUUAUAUUUUAAUUUUUUUAUAUAUAUUUUUUUUUAUCUUCACAAUUAUUCACAUAUUUUAAAAAUAUUCAAACAAAAUUAAAAGUUAUCCCUUUCAAAAUUAUCCCCUCUAAAACUUAUACAUACUAGCUAGCGGCCAAACGACUCCUAAAGGCUAAAUCAUGGAGCGCAGCUUCGGCCCUAAUGUUCUCGCACCCCUUGUUUUGGUGUGGUGGCGGUAACCCAUAGACACCGAGACUCCACCCUUAUUUUUGCAUUUCGUGGCGUCUCCGAUCGCACUCCGUCUUCUAUGAUCUAUCUUCACAUAUCAAUACCUCUCUCUCUCUCUCCCUCGUUUUCCUGGUAAGCAUCUUCUCUUCUCUCACUACAUGUAUGCGCAUUGCACUCCCACCCUCCCACAUCUAGAUCAUAGGGUUUUCGAAAGGAAGAUGGGGGGUGAGCUAAGAUUGGGGGUGAGUAUACAGGGACACGUUGCUGUAUGUAUGUAUGUAUAUCUGCCGAAUCGUUGAACAGUUGAAGAAUUCAUACUGAUCAGUUCUGCGCUAAUGAUUGUAGAAUGCUCAGCCUUAGGUUACAUUAGAACUGUAAUUUAGCGAUUUCUUGAUUGGGGCUGUUGGUGAUGAGACGAUGGUAUCUUGGUAUGUUUUCUUUUUCCUUUGGUUUCCUCUGUAUAGAGAAUUCUUGAAAUAAACACUAGUUUUGCUAAUCGAAGUGUGUUGGUUGGGUUACCGUUUGGCGUUGUGGCUUAGACUUGCUGGUGAGUUAUGACUCAGUGCUUACAUGAUGUUGUUCACAAACUCAUGCACUUGUGGCUUGUAAACUUCUCCAAGGUUACUGUUAAGCUUUGAGGGGGUGUUGGGAUAACAUUCGCAGUGGAAUUUGGGGGUUUGCUAUGGGAGACGCCUAUAGAGGGAGCGAGGUCGUCAAAAUUAUUUUUGAUCAGCGUAUUGUUUCCUGUCGAAGCUUUAUACACAUCUAUAAAAGGGGACACAAUUUCUAAAACCUACAUCCUCCCUACAAAAGGAACUUUUUCUCCGAGCCUCAAACUUUUCUUGUACCGUGCUGGCAGCCUUAAUAAGUCUGCGUGACUGAUUGUACCAUUAGCAAUUAUGGCUAAAACCUUUAUAACUUAAGACAGAAGAAGUAGUACAUUUGAGAAUUAAAAUACUUUUACAAGAUAAAAAUUGUUUACAGGCCGCCUGCCUUAUUGUAUGAUUAAAACAUGUUUUUUACGCUUUGCUUGGUCCCAACAUAAUUAAAACCGGCCAAUCGAGAAAAUAAUGCAGAUUUAAGUGGAAGAUCUUCUACAAGACACAAAUGGCAUUUGUGGAAACAGAUCAGGCAUGCCUGAGUAUGGUCGCCUCACUGGUUGUGAUUAGAUAUGUGUCGCCAUGGUAGUUGAGAUUGAGGUUCCAACACAACAUUUUUUCAUCCACGAAAACGUGUUUUUUCCCAUGAAACAGAAGUGACUAGUUUACCACCUCUACAAAACCAAUAAUUCCCUUCUAUGUAAUUUACAAAAACCACCCUUCUCCUGUUGUCAAUUUCUUUGUACCUAUGUUUUGUUUCUUGCCUUCUCUAAGCUGUGGUCUUUCGUUUUUUUUUUUUUUUAUCAAUAUGUAAAACAUGCUAUUUUACCAAAGUAUUCAGAAAAAUUUAGUGGUUCCCAUGGAUUUGGUAUUGUGUGCAUGCCAUGCUCUUACCCUAUGACAUGUGCGGGUACGGGUAUUGAUAAGGGGACAAUACGGGCACGUCUGUACGGUAAAACGUGAACAUAAAUAGGGUAGAGUCCCGUUCCUAAAAAAUAAAGUUACACCCAUUUAGUACUCAUUAAAAGUGUCCUUGGAUUGGCAACAUGGGAUACAGACUAACCAUUGGGAUAUAUCACAAAUGACUGUUCUCAAGAUUUGAAACUCAUAUCUCAUGUCUGGCUGAGCCAAGCCUUUUUGCCACUUGUUUUCAAGUGGCACACCACUACAAUCCCUAAAAAAUAUAUAUUUUAUAAUUUUAGUAAUAAUAAUGUAUCAUGGGAUACCAAAUAUCAAAAUUUAAUUAUAUCUUAGCUAAUUUAAGAAUUCAGGUAUAAAUGAAAGUUCACUAAGUAAUUAGUCACAAACAUAGUUUUAGUUUUUAUUAUCUUGAAGAACCUAGGCACUAAAGAUGAAAUAUUAUAACAUGCUAAGUUGAGAAAAGUCCGUCAAGUUAACAUACAAUCUCCGUAUAGAAAUAGAUUUUCCUGUAGGGUUCGGCUAAGAUAUAUAGUGGGUACUUUUAGGGUAGGUACAAAAAUAAAGAAAAAAACGGGUAACGCAUUUUGAAGUACCCUUUACAAUAUUUAGAAGUACCAUGUAAGUAUCGAACCCAGUGUGAGUACGACAUAGUUUUUAAAAGUACCCAUGCUACUCUGGCUUAUCACACCUCCUAAACAACUUUGUCAAUUAAACUCAACAAUAGUUUUAGUGGGAGGAGUUUGGGCCAUGAACUAAGGGGGGGGCUGCCCCCAAGUGCGGAUUAAAACUUCCCCGGGGGGGGGGGGGGGUUGUCAAAAACUCUUGAGGCCAACUCCCUACAGGGUUGGGCUGUGCCUCGGCUUUAAUUGGGCCGCUUCACUAAUGGGCAGUGGAAUGGUCCCCCAAAUUAGUCGGUCGUUUGAGCCGGAUACGAGUUAUCAAAAACAAUUGAUCUGCGAUCCCGGCACAACAAUAUUAAUGCACUCUUUCAAAUUUUUAAACAUUGCUCUGAUUCUAGGAGCCACAUACUCCCAAUCUCUCUUCAUCGCUUUUCUGAUACACUUAUUCCCGUAUCACGUCAAUAUCGAUACAAAAUUUAGGGCCUGUCUAGAAGAGCCCAAACUGGGUCUAGUGCCACAAGUAUAGGUUACGGUGCACUGCCUUAACAGGUGUCUUUCCACAAAAACAACCAGCUUACUCCCACUCUACUUGUUGUUCUGGCUUGUUUAAAACACUUGUCUUCACAGAUCUUCUCGUUUAAUCAAACUUAAGGUUGAAACAAUUUUGGAAGCUUGUUAAAUAUUUUGAUUCUUCUGAUCUCCUUUCUUCGGCUUGAUAAGUUAUUGUACAAAAAACUAGUAAGCUACUUGGCUUCACCACGAUUAAAGUUGUUGAUGAUCACUUGAACUAAUACAAUCCUUGAACAUUUCUUGAAAUCUGGUUAAGUUUUUCAAACCAGCUUAAGCAUACAGCUCAACUUGGCCCGUUUACAUCCCUAGUCUGAGGCCCACCUUUGUUUUGAGAAAGGUGUCGAAAACCUGGUUUUAAAAGAAACCAAGAAUUGAGUGUUUUUUCAAUAAAAUCAGAUAACUUAAUAGAGGUGGACCAGAACUGGUCUAUUUUUUUCAGAGUACCUGCACAGUCCCCUGGUUGCCUUUUAGACCUAGUUAUAAUUUGCUUUCAGUUGUAGAAGAUUGGCUAAAUUGAUCCAUGUUUAGUCAUUAGAUUAGAGCUCUGUUUCGGGAAUGAAUCUACAACAAGUUGCAAAACCCCCCCAGAUCGGCCUCUAAUGGGUAUGGUCGUCGGAGAGUUG